RNAcentral lists this unclassified non-coding RNA (285 nucleotides) under plant metagenome. Its description in RNAcentral is "partial contains small subunit ribosomal RNA, internal transcribed spacer 1, and 5.8S ribosomal RNA". The stretch from base 1 to 54 matches the Rfam family "Eukaryotic small subunit ribosomal RNA", at positions 1778 to 1831 of the family's 1831-position model. The record is from RNAcentral.
GGAAGUAUAAGUCGUAACAAGGUUUCCGUAGGUGAACCUGCGGAAGGAUCAUUAUUGUAUAACCGAGGUGCGAGGGCUGUCGCUGACCCGAAAGGUCGUGCACGCCCGAGUGCCCUCACACACAUCCAUCUCACCCCUAUGUGCACCACCGCGUGGGUCCCCCUUUGGCUUGUUCGGAGGGGGGCUUACGUUUUCACAUAAACUUUGUAUGCAGUGUAGAAUGUAUUUUUUGUUUUUGCGAUCACGCAAUCAAUACAACUUUCAACAACGGAUCUCUUGGCUCUC